RNAcentral lists this long non-coding RNA (1225 nucleotides) under Monodelphis domestica (gray short-tailed opossum). Its description in RNAcentral is "lncRNA (ENSMODG00000046024.1)". The record is from RNAcentral. Lineage: Eukaryota; Metazoa; Chordata; Mammalia; Didelphimorphia; Didelphidae.
CUGUCUUAGAGUUGUUACUAAGACAAAAAAAAAAUAAGGUAGUUUUUUUUAAGAGAAUUUUUUCUUCUUCUCAGAAAUGAGACAGAAUGAAACAAUCUUUCCCAAAGAAGGCUGACUUAUGGAAAGACGAUCCGAUGUUAAAACAUUCUAUUAGGAAUCAUCCUUUUAUCAUAGUGCCUAGGGUUUCCACACCUGAAAAUCUAAUAUUUUAGGUUAUAUUUUUUAAGAUGCAGUAAAAUAGAGAUGUUCCCAAAAAGGAUGACAUCACACCCUGAUGAUUUGAAGAAAAGUUUUCAGGAAGAUUCUCAAGGACAAGCAGGAACAACAUUUGAAAGUUAUGGUCACUGGAUUUCUAUUUUUGCCUGUGUUGAAGUGGGCAGUUCUAAAAAAGAUUCUGAGGAGGCAAGAAAGAUUCUCAGAAGAUUUGGGGGGCACACAUUUCACUUUCUCCUCCAAUCUAAAAGGCCCAAGCAAUUCACUCAAGAUUCAUACCUUCUUACCAGCAGGACAUAUAUGGGUCAUCCUUCCAUCAGUGGUCAUUUUCUCCUCUAAGGGGACUAUAGUUUCAAAAAGCACUUCCCACUGCCUUUGGGACUCCUCUCAAACUCACAUGGUAUCUGCCAAAGCUAAGAACUUAUUUCUCAGGGUUGUUUUUUGGUCACCUGGGGUCAGAGAAAGAAUCACAUAACAGAAGAGGCAAGCAAGGCUUUGACAUUCAAUCCCAGGCUCAGUCAGGCAUUCACACAUACCCACUGCCAUAUGUGUACAGCUGCUAUAAUAGCUUCUGGGAAGAGGGAAGGGAAGAAAAAUGUCCACAACUGUACUUACUGGAAUUCCAUGGAAAUACUGAGGUGGGCUGCGUUUUAUGGGCUGCCAGUAAAGAGGAAGGACCUUUCUUCCCCAUUCCUUAACUAGCCCUGUGUGGAUUGCUUCGAUCAGUCAUCAAAUUACCUUUGACACAAUAUACAGUAAAGAAGACUGAAAAAGGAUUCAUCUGGAAGCCCCAGUUCUUCAACACCAAACCAGAUAAUUCAUAUAGCCAGAAUGUACAGAGGGUCAUCCCGAUUCCCAACCAUAGUAUUAAAAAAAAUACAAAAAAAAAAGAAAGAAAGAAAGUUAGGCGGGAAUCAAAGAAGUCAAGGAAGACUUCAUGGUAGAAGGUGAAAUUGAACUAAAAUUCUGAAGGAUACGCAGUUGGCAAAUAAACAUUUAUUAAGAGCCUACA